GAAGAAGAAGUUGGAGCUAGGAUUGAAGAUUUUGAGUUCUUUCUUCUUCAAUUCUCGUGGGUUUUCAACUUAGAGGUAUGGAGAUCCUUUAUCCUUGAUUAUUCUUCCUUUCAACGAGCUCAAUUCAAAUGAUUCAAAGUUCUUCCAAAAACACAAAAAUCCUAAUUUCGAUUCUAAGCAUGGGUUCUUGCAUUAAAUGAUUUUUUUUGAUGAUUUACGUUAUUAAUGGUGUCUAUUGAUGGUUUUAAGAAAGAAAUUUCCAUGAACCAAUAUCUUGGCAAGUUUCCUAAAGUUGGCUUAUGAAGUGGGUUUAUUGUUUAGGAUUGAAUGAUGAUGGAAGUAUGCUUGGAUUGAGUUGAAUAGUUGACUACUAUUAUUAUCUAUGCUUAUCAAUUGUGAAUUGUUGGAGAGUUGAGGAAUGGUGAUUGUGGCUUGGGGAAAAGGGUAAGUGGACCUAACUUCCCUGUUAAGGUAGAGUUGAUAUAGAAUUGUGAUAGAUUGAUGUGUGAUCCACUUAUGGUGGAGGUGUUUACUUAUCGAAUGUAUUGUGUUUUAUGGUCCUUGGAGGGCAUUAUAUGAGGAAUUGAAGUGUUGACAUGAUAUCAUAUAUGUGAAUGUGAUGUAAAGGCAAUCAUGUUGUGAAUAUAAAGGUGUUCAUGUGAUCUCAAGGUGAUCUUGUUUAAAGUGUUAUUGUAUUGUGAUUGAAAGUGUGUCCUCUAUUAUUGUUCAUAUGUGAUGAUGAUGAAAUGUGAAGGAUAUUUAUAAUGUGAUGUGUGGCUUGACUUGGUAGACUUAGGUGCCUCUUCUUGAUACAUUAGAAGCCUUGUUGAAUAUGAAUCGAUAGGAUAUGGCAGUCUUUUCGGAUGUAAGUGACGAAACCUGCUUUUGUAGCUGGAUAGUGUUUGGUAUUUUGGGCAUAUCUCUUUCUCUAGAACGUAGUUUGCAGUGAAUAAAUAUGAUUUGGAAAGCUAACUCGUAUACCUACAACUUUUAUGUUUAUGUAAAAUUCUAAUUUAACUGUUAUGGAUACGAAAUAUGGGACGCAACAUAGGGCAAGUUCUGCCCAGAUUCCGAGAAUUGAAAUCCUGCAUGACCAGCGGCUAGUGUCUUGACUAUAUCUCUUUGUACAAAAUAUAUUUUGCGGUGAUCCUUGUUUGUUUGCAACCCUAAGAGAUGUAUCUACAUCUUUCAUGAAGGUUAUAAAGCCUAGUUCUGCCAUUUUCCUUUUCAAAUCUAAGAUGCAACAUGAAGUACUAGGCUGGCCAGAUUCACUGUUUUGGGUGCAUAGUUGUAUUUGUACAUGCUAGGCUUACUUAUGAUGAUGAUCCUAUUUUACGUCAACAUUACUGAGCUAAUAGAAGUUAAAUAAGUUAUGUAAUUGUAUUUCUAAGGUUGAUAUACUCGUGAACAAGUUGAGGUAUGUGGGUUUGAUUGUGGAAACCUUCCUUUCCACAAGUCCAACCAUUUAUCCUCUAUUUCUACUUCAAGUUUAUGGGUCCUUAUGAACUCUUGAAUUAUGGAAUUACUACUACACAUCCUAUUAUGGUCUAUUUUACAUAUUAUCAUGAAAUGGAAUUAUUAUGUGAUGUUUAUGGUUUUCAUGCUUCCAUGAUCAAAUUAUGAAGGUUGAUAUAUAUGUAUGUUGUUGGUGGGCUGAUUUAUAUGGAUUUUGGAAUUGGUUGGACUUAGUACUCUUGAAAGACAUGAUUUUAUCUACAUGAACAAUAGCCCACCAUGUGUUUGAUAAAAUGCCCACUUAUAGAAUUCUUAGGAAAUGGAAGGUCCAAUGUACGUCCUAUGAAUCGGAUGGUUAUAUAAUUACUGAAAUGAUGAUGAAAUGGACACAUGUAUAUGAUUUUCUCUAUAUACGUGUUGUGAGUCGACCAAGCCUAGUACGGGGGGUAGUAGGCCCGUAUAACCAUAUCGAGGGGUUGGUACCUUGGUUGCCUAGUACGGGGGGUAGUAGGCCCGUAUAACCAUAUCGAGGGGUUGGUACCUUGGUUGCCUAGUACGGGGGGUAGUAGGCCCGUAUAACCAUAUCGAGGGGUUGGUACCUUGGUUGCCUAGUACGGGGGGUAGUAGGCCCGUAUAACCAUAUCGAGGGGUUGGUACCUUGGUUGCCUAGUACGGGGGGUAGUAGGCCCGUAUAACCAUAUCGAGGGGUUGGUACCUUGGUUGCCUAGUACGGGGGGUAGUAGGCCCGUAUAACCAUAUCGAGGGGUUGGUACCUUGGUUGCCUAGUACGGGGGGUAGUAGGCCCGUAUAACCAUAUCGAGGGGUUGGUACCUUGGUUGCCUAGUACGGGGGGUAGUAGGCCCGUAUAACCGUAUCGAGGGGUUGGUACCUUGGUUGCCUAGUACGGGGGGUAGUAGGCCCGUAUAACCAUAUCGAGGGGUUUGUACCUUGGUCCCUAGCUCGGGGGGUGGUAGGCCCGGGUAACCACAUUGAGGGGUUUGUACCUCUUUCGCCUCUCCAAGGGGGUGGUAGGCCUUGGAAAUACUAUAUUGAUGGUCACUCACCACACUUGUGCUACGUCCCACUAAAUAUGACUUUUAUGUAAGCGUCAUUAUAUAUAUAUCGUUUCAUUAAUGUGCUAUCUAACGGGUAUUACUAUGCAUUUUCCUACGAUGUCCAUCUAUGGUAGCAUUGCAUUGCAUCCCAUAUACUUAGUACAUUCAAAUGUACUAACGCAUACUCUAUGCCUACAUGAUGUCACCAUGUAGGGACCGGAGCACCGCUUGACCAUCCUCCUCCGCGUGGCUAAUACGAUUUCCUAUCAAGGUUAUUGGUGAGUCCUCCAUUCCGGGGACGUUGCUCAUGAUCUUUUGCUAUGUAUAAGACUUUUCCUUUUAGUUAUGUUUUGACUAUGAGGGUGAGCCCGGUAGUUUGUCUUGGCCCCCGCUAAGUACUCAUGUUUAGAGGUGGUGUUGGACAAGUUGUGUAUUAUGCUUGAGCUUGACUCAUCUAUGGUAUUUUUGUAUCAUUCUUAUUUUUGUUUCUCUUGCUCCCUUAGUCCCGAUUCCCCCCUUAAUUAUGCUUAUCGCUUAUGGUCAUUUUAUUUGCUUCCGCGACCAAGGAUGUGUAAUGAUACGCUAUGAGGCUUGUUUGGGGUUCCUUCGGGUUCCCCAUUCGCCGGUCACGUCUAGGCACUAGGCUUGGGUCGUGACAGGAACCUAUCCAUAAAUUAACACUACCAUACCUUUAUUGGAAAUCCUUCACGAAAUUGAAGAGGAAAGUUGAGUUCUUGUGCCUUGGUAUCCUAGUUCUUCUUCUUCUUCAAUGGUGGUUUUUAGUGAGAGAAUUUUUGGAGAGGGGAGCUUCUGAUUUGGGUCUUGUGAGAAUGAGUUAGUUUGCUUAGUUUAGGGGUCUUAUUAAGUAUUUAUAGGUGUCUUAAAUAAUAUUAAACAACCCUACUUAUUUACUUAGUUAACCCUUAACCCCUCCCUUAAUCCUUAUUUCAAAAAUUAAAGACACAAAAUCUGGUGUGACCUACGAAACCCCCACCCACAGACCGUGGGUGGGGUCACGAGCCGUACUGGUAAUUCAUAAUUUGUGACUGAAACUUGGGAAGAACAGGGGAGGUCCAUCCUCGACCCACNNNNNNNNNNNNNNNNNNNNNNNNNNGACUCGGAAAAAUGAUAGGUUAAGCAAGAGCCUAUGACUUUGUGUUGACUUUAUAAUGAGGUUCUAUGAGGGGUUUUUAUGUAAUUUCAUUUUAAUUGUGUUACAUCCGACAAUUUAAAAUGAAUAUGAAGAAGCUUGAAAUUGGAAGUAGUCAUUUUUGGGAAAAAAUUUAGAAUCUGGAAAUUCGGCCAAGUGUGGAAAUCAGUGAGUUUUUGGCCAACUUUGAGCAGUCAUAACUCCUAGCUCAGGAUGAUCCAGGAGUAGUUCCAGUUAUAUUUGGAAAGCCCUUGGAACGAUAUUUCCAACGCCACCUAGUUUGCUCGAUUCCGAGUUCGUAUGAGCGAGUUAUGCCCUUUGAAAGUUGGGCAGUUAGCAAGGAGUCCGUCCGGAAAUUUAAGGGCAUUUUGGUCUUUUCACAAAUCUUUUCUUUUGAGGUUAUAUUAUUGUGUUAGGCUGAUUGUGGAUCAUUUUUGUUCCAUUUUAAAAGAGUAAGAGUUAGGGUUCUUGAGUGAAGAAGAGAAGAAGAGGGGAAGAAGAAGAAGAAGAAGUUGGAGCUAGAGUUGAAGAUUUUGAGUUCUUUCUUCUUCAAUUUUCGUGGGUUUUCAACUUAGAGGUAUGGGGAUCCUUUAUCCUUGAUUAUUCUUCCUUUCAAGGAGCUCAAUUCAAAUGAUUCAAAGUUCUUCCAAAAACACAAGAAUCCUAAUUUCGAUUCUAAGCAUGGGUUCUUGUAUUAAAUGAUUUUUUUUGAUGAUUUAUGUUAUUAAUGGUGUCUAUUGAUGGUUUUAAGAAAGAAAUUUCCAAGAACCCAUGUCUUGGCAAGUUUCCAAAAGUUGGCUUAUGAAGUGGGUUUAUUAUUUAUGAUUGAAUGAUGAUGGAAGUAUGCUUGGAUUGAGUUGAACAGUUGACUUCUAUUAUUAUCUAUACUUAUCUAUUGUGAAUUGUUGGAGAGUUGAGGAAUAGUGAUUGUGGCUUGGGAAAAAGGGNNNNNNNNNNNNNNNNNNNNNNNNNNNNNNNNNNNNNNNNNNNNNNNNNNNNNNNNNNNNNNNNNNNNNNNNNNNNNNNNNNNNNNNNNNNNNNNNNNNNNNNNNNNNAAUGUACCUUGAAUCGGUAGGCUUAUGGCACCCUUUCAUGUGUUAAAUAAUGUACCUUGAAUCGGUAGGCUUAUGGCACCCUUUCAUGUGUUAAAUAAUGUACCUUGAAUCGGUAGGCUUAUGGCACCCUUUCAUGUGUUAAAUAAUGUACCUUGAAUCGGUAGGCUUAUGGCACCCUUUCAUGUGUUAAAUAAUGUACCUUGAAUCGGUAGGCUUAUGGCACCCUUUCAUGUGUUAAAUAAUGUACCUUGAAUCGGUAGGCUUAUGGCACCCUUUCAUGUGUUAAAUAAUGUACCUUGAAUCGGUAGGCUUAUGGCACCCUUUCAUGUGUUAAAUAAUGUACCUUGAAUCGGUAGGCUUAUGGCACCCUUUCAUGUGUUAAAUAAUGUACCUUGAAUCGGUAGGCUUAUGGCACCCUUUCAUGUGUUAAAUAAUGUACCUUGAAUCGGUAGGCUUAUGGCACCCUUUCAUGUGUUAAAUAAUGUACCUUGAAUCGGUAGGCUUAUGGCACCCUUUCAUGUGUUAAAUAAUGUACCUUGAAUCGGUAGGCUUAUGGCACCCUUUCAUGUGUGAUGAUGUCAAAGUAAUGAACUAUUCUAUGGGAAUGUAGGCUAAGCACCGAGCGGAUUUGGUUAGAUGGAAACUCCCCCGACAGUUAGGCAUGAGUUUCAAUGAUCGUCUACCUUAUCCCAUAAACUAUGUGCCCGCAUAGGAAGCUAGUGGAUCCAUUAAGCUAUAUAUACCGGUCUUCCUUAGGCAAGUAGACCACCUCUUUUCGGUGUGGGGACUCAUGACACCGGAUUCCAUGACAAGCUCUCAUGGUCUAUGUCGGUUAAAUGCUUACUUCCCAUCAUGUGAGAUUUCAUUAUGGUUUCUUGAUAGGUUCUACAAAGUGUAGGUAGUAGUAUGGGAUGCUACCUAUACAUUGCACGAGUAGGCUUGGAGAGGGUCAUAGUGAGUUUCUCUAAAUCCUAAUGUAUGUGACAUGAAUGUGCCCUAAAUGGUUUCUUAAAGAAUGUUGGUCUAUUGAAGUUAUGUUGUAAAUGAAAUGUCCUUAUCUAAGGUAAUCUUGGGGAACACUUAAGUAUGCUUGAAGAGGAUUGUGUGGGCGGUCACUUCUUGUCUCACUCAAGUGUGUCUUAAGGUNNNNNNNNNNNNNNNNNNNNNNNNNNNNNNNNNNNNNNNNNNNNNNNNNNNNNNNNNNNNNNNNNNNNNNNNNNNNNNNNNNNNNNNNAAAUGACAUGUGUCCUUCUAAAGUUAAGCAUGGGUUGUAUAUGGAUUUAUGUUAAGUAUAUGUAUGGUUGGCUAUGGUCUUAUAUGUUAAUGUUGACUUGUAUUAUGUCUCUUAUACUUGUGAAGUGAAGGUUUUAUCAAAAUGAUAUGAAAGCAUUUACUUUCUUGUAAAUGUCCGUUGUGCAUAUUUUCUUGCAUGGUCUCCAUACUUAGUACUUAAUUGUGCUAACCCCUUUCUUUCGCUUUUUGACUAAAGUGUAGGGAUUUGGAGAUAGUGAUAUGUCAUGGCUACUUGAUAGGUUUUUAAGAGUUGAAGAUGAAGACUUGGUGAGUCCUCAUAGAUUCGAGGGCAAUAACCAACAUGUUCUUUUUUUUAUGUCUCUCUAGUAUUUGCUUAAGUUUUGAGUGGGCUUAGUCCCAAUGUU
Molecule: long non-coding RNA, 6373 nt
Filed under: Solanum tuberosum (potato)
Lineage: Eukaryota; Viridiplantae; Streptophyta; Magnoliopsida; Solanales; Solanaceae
Description: long non-coding RNA (STUB_LNC011512)
Source: RNAcentral